GUCACCAUGCCAAAGCCCCAAGCACUUUCCCCUAGUCAAUAGCGCUCCCAUUCACUGCACAAAACCUUUUUACAGCAGCAAGGACUCGCACGAGGCUUCAUAAUCAACGCAGAACGCCGCGGCAUCACCUGCGUAAGCUGUGCGGUUCUCAUUUGACCUGCCCAUUCGGCAGCUACUUUACACUGGGUGCAUGGUUCCACCUUUGAAUUGGGUCUGUAACACGCAAGGAAUUGCCUGGUUAUUCGCUAACCUGAGUUAGGAGAAGCCCACGCGCCAUUCCUGUCGAGGGAGCCACGCACGUCAAGCCAGAGAGUCAAGGUGGCGCGUACAACCAAUGAAGCCUCUACGUAAGACGCACUGUCUGCAGCGACACCGAUUAUG
Dermacentor albipictus is the source of this 381-nucleotide long non-coding RNA. RefSeq lists it as uncharacterized. The record is from RefSeq and is a predicted model, not a curated record. NCBI's taxonomy places the organism in Eukaryota, Metazoa, Arthropoda, Arachnida, Ixodida, Ixodidae.